This 5544-nucleotide long non-coding RNA is filed under the name Brassica napus (rape). Its description in RNAcentral is "long non-coding RNA (BNAP_LNC013676)". Lineage: Eukaryota; Viridiplantae; Streptophyta; Magnoliopsida; Brassicales; Brassicaceae. The record is from RNAcentral.
ACAAUAAACAAACUCAUCAAACACAUAACACAACAGAUAAGAAUAAGGUAUUACAACAGUUAUAUAUUACCUUGAGUGCACCAAAGACACGGUUUCCUGUAGUGGUCCUGAUAAGACCAACAUCAAGUAGAGCACGGAAUGGUCUCCUGGACUCGGUUGGCUCGACGGAAAAGUCCUCUCCGGUAGCCUGUUCAUGAUUUUAUACGGUUAGAGAUAAAGCCGGAGAUAAAGCUCAAAUCAGAUUUACAUGAAACAUUACCUCAAGGUUGCCCUCGUACUCUUCAUCCAUUUCCAACAUCUUCAGAACACGGCGAGCCAAUAGAAGCCCGGUGCAGUAAGCUGUGUUUCACAAGUAAAGGGUACUAACUAUUUAGCAAGACAGAACAAAUCAACUAUACCCAGAAAACUAAAGCAAAGGACUGAUCAGUACCUGCAGCGUAGUUGGUAAGUCCAACGGUGAGACCAUACUGAGGCAACUCAUGAGCGUAAGCAGAAGCCUUGACAAUGUCACCGGCUAUGCUUGCAGACACGAUUUGUGCGACUAUGUCUUUGUUGGUGAACCUGACAACAAAACGGUACUUUGGUGUGUUGUACUUGUUCUUGUCUUGGUUGAUGAGACGGAUCCUUGCUCUGUAAUCAGUCUUCCCAUCUGCACAAAAAUGAAAAAAACCUUUCAGAACGCAGACAAUAUAAAUCCAAAGAAACAAAUGAAGAAUCAAAUCAAAAUACCUCUCCUUCUCCUGAACUUGACUUGGUACCUCUUGAAGUAAGCGUUCGACUUGGAUGGCUUCACAAACACCUAUCAAUAUAAAAAACAUCUUAUAUCGUUAAGAGUUUUAUAUAAAGAACGAUGUAGCUGUUCUUCCUAAAGAAGCAAAGAUCUAUAUGAAAUAUCGUAAAGGUACAGCCUUUAAACAUCAAGACCAAAACCCAUUAAGAUUAUAGCCCUAUAGACUAAUGAAUUCUCGUUACCAAAGCUCAGACAAAUAUGAAAAAUCUAAGGAAACGCUGGAGAAAACUAAUGUAGGAGAUUUCCAUAUCAAACGAAAUGAAAAGCAGAAUCUUAUUGUUUGAGAAAAUUAAGAAGGCAGAGAGAUGAAAGCUAGGGCGUACCAUUGUUUGAAGCUAAGCGGAAGCUAAGCGGAAGCUUUGGGUGUGAGAUGAGAGUGUCGAGAAGACAAGAGGCGGAAUAUAAACCAAAAUGCAAGAUCUUAUAAUGAAAAACCCUAGAUGACUCCUUCGUGGGCUCUCCCUUAAUUCAACGGCCACGAUUUAUCUGGGCUUAAUAAUGUUUUAACGGUCUAGAUCGGUAUAAUGUAUUCUGCAUGGGCCCAUUAGUCUUUGUAUUUGGGCUUUUGUCUUCCCAAACUAUUCUGAGAUGUCUUUAUGUAUACUCCUUCCAUUUCGAAUUAGAUGCCGUUUUACGGAAAAAAAUUCGUUCCAAAAUUAGUGUCGUUUUAUGAUUUUAAUGCAAAAUUUAUUAAUUUUUUAUUCUAAUAUAUUUUUCUAUUGGUUGAAAUCUGGUUAGGUGUAUUGGUAAUGAUGUUUUUAUCUAGUAAAUAGAUAAACUUAAAUGUUUUAUUAAUCUGUGUGUCGAAUUCUAGAACGACAAGUAAAACGAAACAGAGGAAGUACUAAGCUUACUUAGCUCGAAAUUGUUUAAUAAAAUGCAAUAACUCAAAAUAUUUAGUGAAGUUAUUUUAUAAUUUUGGUUUAAAAAUAGUAUCGCAAAUUUUUUCUGUUUAUUGGCUUUUGGUAUUUAUUUAUUUUUGUGUCAGUCAACAAGAGUUUAUAUUUAUUUAUGUGAUGCAAAUAUAUGUUGGACUAUAAUCUUAAAAUUUUGGGUGUGACAUUACUUAUUAUGAGAGAUAUUCUAUAAUGUUGGUAUUUUUUUUUGAAACAGAGUACAAAUGAUGGAAAUUAAUCUGUAACUGAAUAGUAUGUCAUAGCUUAAAACAAAUGUACAACUUACAAAAUUUGUAACUAGUUUGUGUAGUUCUUAAGCAUGCGGCUCAGGACUGGUAAUUUGUGUAAUUCUUGAGCAUGUGGCUCAGGACUGGUAAUCAGUGUUUUAGUGUAACUAAAUCAUAUAGCUACGACUUGAAUGUAGUCAUUGUCAUUACUAAAUUAAGUGUGGGAAUUCCACCAAUAUUCUAUUUUGGUCUUUUUUUUAUCACCAAAACAUUUAUCAGGUCUGUAGCUUUCAAGUAACAGAAACGCUCCUUUCUCCGGUCCGACGUUUGUGUCGGAACCGAAGGCGUCCUCCUCCUUUCCUUUCUCUUUUUUAUUUUGCCUCCUCCCAUCUGUUCAACCUCUGUCGAUAUGCAAGCGAUUCUGGAUGUGUCCGUUUGUCACCGGAGACCUCUCUGUUGGUUAAAGGAGACAAGACGACGGUUCUGGAAAAGCGGGGAGACUGAGGAGCGACUGAAGCGGGGGAGGUCGGCUUUUAGGACUGAAGAAGCUACCAGAUCUAGUUUUCCUCUUUUCAGAUUUGGGCGAUUUCUUCGGAAUGCCGGCGUGUGACCAUUGUGGGAACCCUUCUCCGUCUUAGAUCUACCUCACUGAGCGGAGGUGAGAAGUACCGAAGAGCGAUUGACAAGCGGUGGAAGAUGUUUUGAAGCUCCGGUUCUCGGAAUCAACGUGUCGCAGAGUCCUUCGUCGCCGGAGGUGGUAGCUUUGCAGCAGGUACACGGUGAGGCUCUACUUCCCAGCGCCGGCGGUGGUCUGGUUACUUCGUCGGUGGUAUGAAUCUCACGUCAUCUGAAGCUAGGUUUUGCUGUUCCGAUUACGUUAUGCUGUCAUCAAGUCCGCCUUUUAUCAGUAUGCCAAUUCAGAAUUUGCAGGUGUACUAACUGGUGUGCCGUCUUUUCUGGCUUAGGAGCGGGACAAGAAAUUUGGUGGUGGUGGUCUAGGCCGGGAAUGCUCCGAAAGUAAUGGAAUGGAUGUGUUGGUCCAAGCUUAUCAUUCUUAUCUUUUGGUGAUCAGCACUUUGCUCUUGUAAUUAGUAGCCUGGUUUAGAUUCUAUCACUGCUGGAUGUAAGGUCUUCGUCUCUUGUGGUCGAUUUAGGUGGUUAAGAGGUGGCUCUUCCUGAGUCGUAGGAAGAGUUCAUCUCAUCGGGGUGAAAUGGGCAAUGAACAACAACCGGGUAGUGUAGGAUCCAAUCAAGUGAUCUUAAGCGAUACUAGGUUAGUUCGUUUGUCCUAGUGGUUCAAUCUCUUGAGAGGUUUAAAAUCAUGUGUAACUCCAAAAGUUGGUGAAUGAAAGUUGAUGAUGAGUUAAAAAAAAAAAAAAAACCUUUACCAGGCAUGAGUCAUGAUUAUAAGACCCACAACCGCCUAUUCACAUGACAGAAUUUGAAACCUCUUUAUUACAGGCAGAUCACAAUUCAUAAAAUGUAUUAUCAUUUUUAGCUGCUGGUGCUCGGUUUUCGGGAUACCAAAGAGCUACCUUGGGACCUUUGUGAUGAUGUGUGUUCUUAUGGUCACGAACUCCAAGUAGUUGUCACAAGGCCAAGAUUACAUGUAAAUAUAUAUUUUUUCCUUGAGAUGGAGGAGGAUUUGGUACCUCGAAACUAAGAGAAUUGUCAAAGCUAUUUUUUCUUAGGCUGAAGUGGUAUUCUAUGGUGCAUUGCAAUUCGAAGAAUUGUAUCCAUUCUAGCAAUGUAAAAUUUUUGUUUGAGAUAUCGUCUUUCUCAUAACUGAUAGUUCGAUAAGUUUUCAUUAAAAAAGAUAGUUCGAUAAAUUUAAACCCUAUAGUACCAUAAAGAAUAUUAUGCAAAAUCAAAUGCUGUGAAAUGUGCAUGUGUGACUAAUGAGAACGCUAGUGCAUUUGCUAUAGGAUCUGUAGAAUGGAAAGAAACAAUAUGUAAUGUGAAUAAACAAUGACUUUCUGAUCAGUGAUUGAUGAAGUAGGGGAAGAAGGUAACGUGAGAUUGAUCAUUUAGCUGAAUAAUAAGAUUCUCGAAUAGUUAACCAGAGGCUUUCUACAUUAAACGAAUUGAUUUGCGAUGAUCCACACACCCUUCGUUUAUGCCAAUCCCUUCUAAGUUGAGUUGAGACUAUUCUCUUCCUGGCUUUCUCAGCCUGCAAAUAAUAGAGAUUCCAGUUACUUCAAAGAUUAAAAAACAAAACAGAAUGUGGAAGUGUGACAAGCUAAAAUGACUAAUUUUCUAUUCCAAGUACUAACCUGUUCGUUCCAAUUUAUAGAACUUGUAAUGAUAUAAAGUAUAAUGGCUCUUGCACAGCGGAUCCAACCACAACACCGCACACUAUCCUUUUCGUUAAAAUGACGAUAAACUCUAACCGGAGCUCCUAUGAGAUUACCAUAUUGUUCCAAGCUCCAAUAUGGUGCCAACCACUUCCUCUAGCAACCCCAUUUAGAAUUGCAGUAAAUCCAUCAUGGAUAAAAGAAAGAUAGAGCAAUACGGGUUUGUUCAUUAGACAUCGCUCUUUGCUUUUUAAUUUCAGAUACUCGAGUUAAAAAGACUACUGCAUAUUCAAGAUUUUGUGUAUUGUUUAAUCCAAUGUAUUGUUUGAAAGGUUAUAUCAGCCUUUGAUUAUGAAAUGAUUGAUUGGUAGAGCAAUGAACAUUAAAGUACGCAUAAGAUCAAACUAUAAAAACUCCAAAAUCAUGAAAAUGUCGAAAAAAUUUAACUUCAUAGAAAAUGGCAAUCCUCAUACUCAAACGGACAUAAAAUGUGAAAACACGAGCAUAAGUUUUAAGUCUGGCAAAAAUGUAAAAAGCUACAAGAGACAUCAGGAGAAAGGCUUAAUGACGCUUUACUCUUCGUCGUCCUCAUCAUCAUCAUCCCCACCAGCUGCUCCGUUCAAUGCCUUGACUCUCUCGAUCAACUUGUUCUUCCUCUCCUCGUAGGUCAACUUCUUCAAGUUGUACCUGUUUAUCAGUCAAAACCACACAAUCAGGCACAAAUGCACCAAAAGCAUUAAGAAAGAAUGAAAUGCUUUUGUAAAUGAUUAACCUCUUGUGUGUCUUGGGAGCAGGUUUCUUGGUCUUCUUAGGGUUGGGGUCUGCACGGAUGGCUGCAUGAACCUUCUUGUACAGCUCCUCCAUGCUCUCAGCAUCAACUCCUUUCUUCAAGUACUGACUGAAGUGAGUCUGAAACUUCUCUGGCUCAUCUUCGUUCAACAUCUUCAUGUAGUUUGAGACGUGACCUCCAUAGAUGUAGUUCCUGUGGAUCUCAGCAUCGAGUUGCUUGUUCUCCUUGUUGAAACCAGCGAAUCUCUUGUCACUGUGUGGGAUAUCAAGUCCUCCGUCCAAGGCACCCUACAGUAACACCAUAAACGAACUCAUCAAACACACAAUACAACAGAUAAGAACAAGACAAAGAAUAAUGGCAACAGUUUUAUAUACCUUGAGUGCACCGAAGACACGGUUUCCUGUAGUGGUCCUGAUAAGACCAACAUCAAGAAGAGCACGGAAAGGUCUCCUGGACUCGGUUGGCUCCACGGAAAAGUCCUCUCCGGUAGCCUGUUCAUGAUUUUGAGCGGUUAGAGAUUACAGCCAGAGAUCUGAUACAUGAAACC